This 253-nucleotide ribosomal RNA is filed under the name uncultured bacterium. RNAcentral describes it as "partial 16S ribosomal RNA". It matches the Rfam family "Bacterial small subunit ribosomal RNA", at positions 524 to 776 of the family's 1533-position model. The record is from RNAcentral.
UACGUAGGGUGCGAGCGUUAAUCGGAAUUACUGGGCGUAAAGCGUGCGCAGGCGGUUUUGUAAGCCAGAUGUGAAAUCCCCGGGCUUAACCUGGGAAUGGCAUUUGGGACUGCAAGGCUUGAGUGCGGCAGAGGAGACUGGAAUUCCCGGUGUAGCAGUGAAAUGCGUAGAUAUCGGGAGGAAUACCGAUGGCGAGGGCAGGUCUCUGGGCUGACACUGACGCUCAUGCACGAAAGCGUGGGGAGCAAACAGG